This is a long non-coding RNA of Myotis daubentonii (Daubenton's bat), 772 nucleotides long. RefSeq lists it as uncharacterized. NCBI's taxonomy places the organism in Eukaryota, Metazoa, Chordata, Mammalia, Chiroptera, Vespertilionidae. The record is from RefSeq and is a predicted model, not a curated record.
UUCAACAUCACAAAAGCUCUCAUAGUGAAAAGAAGCCAUAGCAAUGUAAGGCAUGUGGUAAAGCCUUCAGGUUCCAACUAGUUUUUACAGACAUGUGAAAACAAAAUGUAUUGAUAAACACCGUUAAUGUAAAGAAUCGCCAAGAGCCUUCAUUUAUCUCUCAGCUGUGCCAUCAUGUAUGAUAAUCCUUAUUGGGGAUGGACCCUAGUAAUGUAAGAGGGUUAGAAAGCGUUCAUUUUUUCCAGUUUAUUGUAAAGGAUGAAUGAACUCACUGAAGAGAUCCCUGUCAUGUAAGGAUUGUAGAAGAACCUUUGGCCAUCCUAGUUCUUUACAAAAUCAUGAAGGGACUCACACCCAACAAUAUGUGUAUGAACAUAAGGAAUGUGGGAGAGCCUUUCUUGGACAUGUGAGAAUGCACCUGGUGAAAUAGUGUAUACGUAGAGAAGGUGGGAAAGCCUUCAGUUGUCUCUUUUCCUUGGAAAGAUCAUUAAAAAAAAACUCAAAUUUGAGAAUUGUUUUUAAUGUAAAAAUAUAGGAAAACCUUCAUGUUGCCUUAUGUCCCUACAAUAAUACAAUGUGAAAAUGUACACUGGAUAGAUACUGUAUAAUUGCCUAUUUAAAAAAAGUUUAAAUUUUAACAAAUACUUUCAGAGUAGCUUGAAAACUGCACUGGAAGGAAAUCCUAUUAGUGUAACUAACUGGUAUAUGUAAACCUGUUGCAAAUGAAGUCAUAUAUACCCCAAAACUCACAGCAUUAAAGAAGUUCUAUGAA